CAGCCGCCACGGUAAUACAGAGGGUGCGAGCGUUAAUCGGAUUUACUGGGCGUAAAGCGUGCGUAGGCGGCUAAUUGAGUCGGAUGUGAAAUCCCCGAGCUUAACUUGGGAAUUGCAUUCGAUACUGGUUAGCUAGAGUGUGGGAGAGGAUGGUAGAAUUCCAGGUGUAGCGGUGAAAUGCGUAGAGAUCUGGAGGAAUACCGAUGGCGAAGGCAGCCAUCUGGCCUAACACUGACGCUGAGGUACGAAAGCAUGGGGAGCAAACAGGAUUAGAUACCCCGGUAGUCCCUGUCUCUUAUAA
This 301-nucleotide ribosomal RNA is filed under the name uncultured bacterium. RNAcentral describes it as "partial 16S ribosomal RNA". It matches the Rfam family "Bacterial small subunit ribosomal RNA", at positions 509 to 809 of the family's 1533-position model. The record is from RNAcentral.